CCUAAUAUGACAGAUAAUUGUAAUAAAUUUAAACUUUAUAAAUAAAAUAUUUUAUAUAUUUUUAUUAGGA
This 70-nucleotide transfer RNA is filed under the name Trissolcus basalis. RNAcentral describes it as "tRNA-Leu". Lineage: Eukaryota; Metazoa; Arthropoda; Insecta; Hymenoptera; Scelionidae. The record is from RNAcentral.